CUGUACUUGUACUCUUACUGAAUUUCUGAAGGAAGUAACUUACUUUUUACUCUUUUACAUGUUACCAAAUCAUUUCAUAUACAUAUAUUUAUAUUAUUAUGUCGUCGCUGUCGGAUGAAAUCCUCCUUAUCAAAAUGUUGUUGAUUUUUUUAGAUUUUUUUUUUAACUUGAAUCUAUAGUAUUGUGACGACCCUGGGUUUAUAAGUGCGGAUGUCAACUCUGACGCUGGAGCUUGCUUUUGCGGCACAGUCGAUAGCGCACUGGACUUCGGGCUAGAAGGUCCAGGGUUCGAGACCUGCUUCCUGCUGUUUCAUUACAAUAUUGGUUCCCCUUUACGUUUGUAUGAAUGUUUCACAACUCCUUGACCAAUGAAAUGUAUUAGAAAUAGCUUGUCGUCAAAACUCUUAAGUCCAUUGUCUCUCAAAGUUGUCCGUCAAACCCAGUUGUAUCUCCUCCACAAUUCUUGAAGUGAAGAACACUUCACUCCUCAAGAUUUGUUUGUUCUUGGGUUCUCAGCCAGACACAAUCAGAGUUCCCACCAAUAUCCAGAAACUUCGCAUAGACAUUGAAGAGGAGUGGGACAACAUUCCACAGGCCACAAUCAACAGCCUCAUCGCGAAGGUACACUAUAUAAAGAAAAAAGUAUGUGGACACCCCUUCAAAUGAGUGAAUUUGGCUAUUUCAGCUACACCCGUUGCUGACAGGUGUAUAAAAUUGAGUACACAGCCAUGCAAUCCCCAUAGACAAGCAUUGGCAUUAGAAUGGUUUUACUGAAGAGCUCAGUGACUUUCAACAGGGCACCGUCAUAGGAUGCCACCUUUACAACAAGUCCUCAGUUUGUCACAUUUCUGCCCUGCUAGAGCUACCCCGGUCAACUGCAAGUGCUGUUAUUGUGAAGUGGAAACAUCUAGAAGCAACAACGACUCAGCCGCAAAGUGGUCAUAGAGUUCUUUUCAGUUGACUGAUUUCCUUAUAUGAACUGUAACUCAGUAAAAUCUUUGUCUAUUCCAUUUAUAUUUUUGUUCAGUG
Molecule: long non-coding RNA, 1029 nt
Filed under: Salmo salar (Atlantic salmon)
Lineage: Eukaryota; Metazoa; Chordata; Actinopteri; Salmoniformes; Salmonidae
Description: lncRNA (ENSSSAG00000085592.1)
Source: RNAcentral